GUUUGGAUUGUUUGCCUUGGC
RNAcentral lists this microRNA (21 nucleotides) under Brassica rapa (field mustard). RNAcentral's name for it is "bra-miR5717". The record is from miRBase by way of RNAcentral. Lineage: Eukaryota; Viridiplantae; Streptophyta; Magnoliopsida; Brassicales; Brassicaceae.